GGCAACCUGGCCGAGUGGUCUAAGGCGCCAGGUUCAGGAAUCCUGGUCUCUUCGGAGGCGAGAGUUCGAAUCUCUCGGUUGUCA
This 84-nucleotide transfer RNA is filed under the name Yarrowia lipolytica CLIB122. Its description in RNAcentral is "tRNA YALI0_C14278r". It matches the Rfam family "tRNA". Rfam says of the family: Transfer RNA (tRNA) molecules are approximately 80 nucleotides in length. Their secondary structure includes four short double-helical elements and three loops (D, anti-codon, and T loops). Lineage: Eukaryota; Fungi; Ascomycota; Dipodascomycetes; Dipodascales. The record is from RNAcentral.